Long non-coding RNA from Saccostrea cuccullata (small rock oyster), 276 nucleotides. RefSeq lists it as uncharacterized. The transcript has 3 exons. Lineage: Eukaryota; Metazoa; Mollusca; Bivalvia; Ostreida; Ostreidae. The record is from RefSeq and is a predicted model, not a curated record.
AUUAUUGGUUUUCAUGUUUUCUACGAUGCCACCUCAAGUGUUACUCAUUCAAAACAUACUUGUGCCCUUCCUUGGAAAAGAAAUUUUGGAUUAACAACCAAUGCAACAGAUGAGACCGGAAGAUUUUUCGACGGAUUGAGAAAUAUAAUCACUGGUUUUUUAUAUAGUCAUGAAGAAGAUGAAAGUUUGAAAAUUCAUCUUGACAAAUGUUCCAAAGAUAUCAACUGCAAACUUUCUACUGUCCUAGACAAAAACGAAAAAGGUGUCAUGUUUCUU